CAAGAUGUCUGGCUCGCGAUACUAUCCGACAUGGCCGCCAGUGCGGCAUCUUGUCCGGCCUUCCCUCGCACGUCUGCGACAAAGAGUCGAGAGACGUUUAUGUGUCGUCUGCACAGUGACACACUGCGCGUUGAAAUGCUUGUGACGAGGUUCAGAUUGAGACAUUCAGUACGUUGACACGGACAGCAGUAAUGUAAUUAUAGACCGUAUUCUGAAUAAGACGAUAUUCUGAUUAAGGUGUUUACAUGAGUCGCUUUUAGAAUAUUCCUUUCAUGUUCCUGUUUUACGUGUUAUAGAACAUAGAUGGAUUAACGUCACACGUCAUUACGUCCCCGCGUCACGCCGUCCGACGUCCCUCCAGAAUUCCACGUAUCGACAUACAGUUGGUCUUCGUUAUGGGAGCGUAUACAGUUUUGAGUGUUUUUAUUUUAAUUUUAUGAAAUCUUCAAGUGCGGUUAAUUAUUUGUCGUGCUGUACGUGCUAAUAGACGACUGCGUGAAGCCCCGUGCUCUUGUUCGCCGUAAAACGGUCGAGCGCUGCCGUGUGUGUACGUGUCCUGUCUCACAAUGCGGUGAAAACUCCCACACGACGUUAACAGUGUGAUUAAGGUGUGUACGUGUCCGUAACGCACGUCCAUAACGUGACUAAAACAGGAAAUACUCCACACGUCUUAAUUCCGUCUGUGUUUACUCCGAGUAUGACUUUAAUCGGAUUAAGGUCCUCAAUAAUCUCUGUUCACAUGCUAGUUUCUCAAUCAGAGUAUCGUCUUAAUCGGGUUCAUAUCGGAUUGUUGUCCAUGUAAACGUACUGAUUGACAGUAUAAGCACUUAUUAAAUAUGAAGAAACAUGUAUUCAGUCCGUACAGGAUUUCAAUGAGGUUUUUUUUUGCGAUUGUUGCGGCCGAAAAAGCACGCUUUUGCUGCAUUUUUUUUUUUUUACUUCUGAAUUUUUUCGUUUUUUUUUUUUUUGCGGUAUUUGAACUGACAAUAGCAUCGCAAUUGUUCUGCGGGAUUUUUCGCAGUGAUGUUUGUUGGUAAACGAG
Molecule: long non-coding RNA, 1042 nt
Organism: Ictalurus punctatus (channel catfish)
Lineage: Eukaryota; Metazoa; Chordata; Actinopteri; Siluriformes; Ictaluridae
Source: Ensembl